AUGCAUCAUGUUAAUGAUGUCAGUUUUCUUGGCAAUCCAGGUGCUAUGUACACAUUUAAGCUACUCCUAAAUCCCUCGCCAAAUAUGGGAAAACCGUCACAUUUCUUUUUAAUAACCGACCUACACAGAGAUGCAACUGUUUUAACUUCUCUUAAUCUUCAGUUUUGUUUAAGUAGUAUUUGCAUCAAUAGACAUAUCAUUAAUUUAUACAGCACGCGCGCGAUUUGUGCUCUAUCAGUAGCCACGCCACAGCCGUUAGAUUGUGCAUCGCUUCACCACGUGUGUGUGGGUGAGCACCGACAAUUCAGUUGUUCAUUGCUUGCUGCUUUUCAGUUGUUCAUUGCUUCCUGCUUUGCUGGUUGCUCACUGCUUUGUACUAGCUGCUUUGCUAGUUGCUCAUUGCCUUUCUUAUAG
RNAcentral lists this ribosomal RNA (414 nucleotides) under Triticum aestivum (bread wheat). RNAcentral describes it as "partial small subunit ribosomal RNA". Lineage: Eukaryota; Viridiplantae; Streptophyta; Magnoliopsida; Poales; Poaceae. The record is from RNAcentral.